RNAcentral lists this ribosomal RNA (253 nucleotides) under uncultured bacterium. Its description in RNAcentral is "partial 16S ribosomal RNA". It matches the Rfam family "Bacterial small subunit ribosomal RNA", at positions 524 to 776 of the family's 1533-position model. The record is from RNAcentral.
UACGUAGGGUGCAAGCGUCGUCCGGAAUUAUUGGGCGUAAAGAGCUUGUAGGCGGUUUGUCGCGUCUGCUGUGAAAUUUCGGGGCUCAACCCCGAACUUGCAGUGGGUACGGGCAGACUAGAGUGUGGUAGGGGAGACUGGAAUUCCUGGUGUAGCGGUGAAAUGCGCAGAUAUCAGGAGGAACACCGAUGGCGAAGGCAGGUCUCUGGGCCAUAACUGACGCUGAGGAGCGAAAGCAUGGGGAGCGAACAGG